GUGCCCUUUUAAGGUUGACACAGUGCCUUAGGAGGCUAACACCGAAGGGUAAAGACAGUCUCCGUAAAAUCCAGAGAUUUUACGAACUCCUCUUUGGAACUCCUCUUUGGAUCCUGGCUGGAGUCACAGCU
Molecule: small nucleolar RNA, 131 nt
Filed under: Cervus hanglu yarkandensis (Yarkand deer)
Lineage: Eukaryota; Metazoa; Chordata; Mammalia; Artiodactyla; Cervidae
Description: Small nucleolar RNA SNORA26 (ENSCHYG00000006913.1)
Rfam family: Small nucleolar RNA SNORA26
About the family: The snoRNA HBI-6 belong to the H/ACA family of snoRNAs, guiding the pseudouridylation of position U4522 if the 28S rRNA. HBI-6 is the human orthologue of mouse MBI-6 snoRNA.
Source: Rfam by way of RNAcentral